GCAGCUCAGUCGGUAAGAGCACGGAGUUCUUAAUCUCAGAGUCGGGGGUUCGAGCCCCACGUUGAGUG
Non-coding RNA from Podarcis lilfordi (Lilford's wall lizard), 68 nucleotides. The record is from the annotation of a GenBank genome assembly. NCBI's taxonomy places the organism in Eukaryota, Metazoa, Chordata, Lepidosauria, Squamata, Lacertidae.